Molecule: ribosomal RNA, 190 nt
Filed under: uncultured bacterium
Lineage: Bacteria
Description: partial 16S ribosomal RNA
Rfam family: Bacterial small subunit ribosomal RNA
Source: RNAcentral
CAGGCUGCAACUCGCCUGCACGAAGCCGGAGUUGCUAGUAAUCGCGGAUCAGAAUGCCGCGGUGAAUGCGUUCCCGGGUCUUGUACACACCGCCCGUCACACCAUGGAAGUUGGGGGUGCCCAAAGCCGGCAGGGAAAUAUGCUGUCUAAGGCAAAACCAAUGACUGGGGUGAAGUCGUAACAAGGUAGC